CACUAUGGCCACGCCACCCUGAACAUGCCUGAUCCCGUCUGAUCUCGGAAGCUAAGCAGGGUCGGGCCUGGUGGGUCCUUAGAUGGGAGACCACCUAGGAAGACCAGGUGCUGUAGGCA
This 119-nucleotide ribosomal RNA is filed under the name Pteropus alecto (black flying fox). Lineage: Eukaryota; Metazoa; Chordata; Mammalia; Chiroptera; Pteropodidae. The record is from RNAcentral.